This is an RNA transcript of Solenopsis invicta (red fire ant), 832 nucleotides long. It is a transcript of the gene named dolichyl-phosphate beta-glucosyltransferase ALG5E, with no coding region annotated. The transcript is spliced from 5 exons. Lineage: Eukaryota; Metazoa; Arthropoda; Insecta; Hymenoptera; Formicidae. The record is from RefSeq and is a predicted model, not a curated record.
AUGGAAGUUGCUCAGGGGUCAUUAAACGAAGUCAACGACGAUGCACAAUUACUGAAACGUGUUAUAACAGGUGACGAAACAUGGGUUUACGGAUAUGACGUCGAAACUAAGGCUCAAUCGUCCCAGUGGAGACAUUCUGGCUCGCCAAGACCGAAAAAGGCUCGACAAGUGCGGUUGAACGUGAAGGUUAUGCUCACUGUGUUCUUCGAUUUUAAUGGCAUAGUGCAUCAUGAAUUCUUGCUACGAGGUCAAACGAUCAAUAAGGAUCAAAUAAAAAGUAAGAAGGCAUUCCCUUCGUUACACGAUUCUUAGAGCUUACACCUCAGUGUUAUUGUACCUGCUUACAAUGAAGGGCAAAGACUGCCACCAAUGCUCAAUGAAUGUCUGGAGUAUUUGGAAGAAUGCAGCAAGUCUGGAUUAACUUAUGAACUAAUAGUCAGUGAUGGCAGUACAAAUAAAAGAUUUGGCUCAUCGUUACUCGUCAAAAUACAACACUCUCUAAGGCCUGGUUGUUCCACCUUUGUUUACCUAACAGUUAAAUUACCUGAUACUUACCAAAAGGUGGAACAACCAGGCCUAAUAGUACUAAACCUUAAGAAAAAUAAAGGGAAGAGAAAUGCUGUAAGACUGGGUAUGCUGAAUGCAAGAGGCAGCGCCUUAUUAUUUGCAGAUGCAGAUGGUGCUACCAAGUUUAAUGAUGUAAAAAAGUUGGAUGAAAGUCUGAUAAUUGUUCUAGGAUGUAAAUUAAAAAAGAAUAAAGAUUCUGAUAUUAUGUUAGAUUGUACUUAAUUGUUCACGUUUAAUUAAAUAUUUAACGUUUUAUAUUUAAUAA